AUGUGCAGUUACAGAUAUGAUUUAUUGCCAAUCAUUUUGUCUUUUAGAUCACUUAAGAAGCUGGUUAGUAGAUGUUUGAUUGGGUUACAAGUAAAAUAUCCUUAUUCCUUUCCCCCUUUUUGCUUUUCCAGGGGGUUUUUGUUUUUGGGUAUUAGGGAUUUUUUUGGGUUGCCCAUGGUUUUGUUUUUGGCUUCAUAUAUGUUAGAACCUAACGCAACUAUACCUACCCUACCCAUAUCCUCGCUUCCUGGUUUGUGGUGGCUUCAUGUAUGUAAAUAUUUGUCAUUUGUAGCUCUAGUGUGCCCUAGUGUUCCCUAG
RNAcentral lists this long non-coding RNA (318 nucleotides) under Prunus dulcis (almond). RNAcentral's name for it is "sRNA ncRNA". Lineage: Eukaryota; Viridiplantae; Streptophyta; Magnoliopsida; Rosales; Rosaceae. The record is from RNAcentral.